GGGGGUAUAGUUCAGUGGUAGAGCAUUCUACUGCAGAUUGAGUGGUCACCGGUUCAAACCCGGGUGUCCCCU
This is a non-coding RNA of Trichonephila inaurata madagascariensis, 72 nucleotides long. NCBI's taxonomy places the organism in Eukaryota, Metazoa, Arthropoda, Arachnida, Araneae, Nephilidae. The record is from the annotation of a GenBank genome assembly.